This 1263-nucleotide ribosomal RNA is filed under the name metagenome. RNAcentral describes it as "bacterial LSU rRNA". It matches the Rfam family "Bacterial large subunit ribosomal RNA", at positions 1675 to 2925 of the family's 2925-position model. The record is from RNAcentral.
CGAAUACCAAGGCGAUCGAGUGAAUCGUGGUUAAGGAAUUCGGCAAAAUGCCCCCGUAACUUCGGGAGAAGGGGGGCCCAGACCUUGAAGGAGUUUACCUCCUAGGGGAAAGGGCCGCAGAGACCAGGGAGAAGCGACUGUUUACUAAAAACACAGUUCCGUGCGAAGUCGCAAGACGAUGUAUACGGACUGACGCCUGCCCGGUGCUGGAAGGUUAAGAGGACCGGUUAGACCUUCGGGUCGAAGCUGAGAAUUUAAGCCCCAGUAAACGGCGGUGGUAACUAUAACCAUCCUAAGGUAGCGAAAUUCCUUGUCGGGUAAGUUCCGACCUGCACGAAUGGCGUAACGACUUCUCCACUGUCUCAACCGCGAACUCGGCGAAAUUGCACUACGAGUAAAGAUGCUCGUUACGCGCAGCAGGACGGAAAGACCCCGGGACCUUUACUAUAGCUUGGUAUUGGUGUUCGGUACGGCUUGUGUAGGAUAGGUGGGAGACUGUGAAGCAUGCACGCCAGUGUGUGUGGAGUCAACGUUGAAAUACCACUCUGGUCGUUCUGGAUAUCUAACCUCGGUCCGUGAUCCGGAUCAGGGACAGUGCCUGGUGGGUAGUUUAACUGGGGCGGUUGCCUCCUAAAAGGUAACGGAGGCGCUCAAAGGUUCCCUCAGCCUGGUUGGCAAUCAGGUUUCGAGUGUAAGUGCACAAGGGAGCUUGACUGCGAGAGAGACAUCUCGAGCAGGGACGAAAGUCGGAACUAGUGACCCGGCGGUGGCUUGUGGAAGCGCCGUCGCUCAACGGAUAAAAGGUACCCCGGGGAUAACAGGCUGAUCUUGCCCAAGAGUCCAUAUCGACGGCAUGGUUUGGCACCUCGAUGUCGGCUCGUCGCAUCCUGGGGGUGGAGUUGCUCCCAAGGGUUGGGCUGUUCGCCCAUUAAAGCGGUACGCGAGCUGGGUUUAGAACGUCGUGAGACAGUUCGGUCCCUAUCCGCUGUGCGCGUAGGAAACUUGAGAAGGGCUGACCCUAGUACGAGAGGACCGGGUUGGACGAACCUCUGGUGUGUCAGUUGUCCUGCCAAGGGCACGGCUGAUUAGCUACGUUCGGAAGUGAUAACCGCUGAAAGCAUCUAAGCGGGAAGCACGCUUCAAGAUGAGGUUUCCAUGGGGUUUACCCCGAGAGGCUCCCGGCUAGACUACCGGGUUGAUAGGCCAGACGUGGAAGUGCAGCAAUGCAUGUAGCUGACUGGUACUAAUAAGCCGACAACUUGA